This is a long non-coding RNA of Myotis lucifugus (little brown bat), 548 nucleotides long. RefSeq lists it as uncharacterized. Lineage: Eukaryota; Metazoa; Chordata; Mammalia; Chiroptera; Vespertilionidae. The record is from RefSeq and is a predicted model, not a curated record. The transcript is spliced from 3 exons.
UGGCUCGGAAGUACGUGGGCAAAAUCCUCGCCGCCGCCACAACAAUCGCGGGCACCAACCUAUCGAAGUGGCUGCGUGGGUCCUCGCUGACGCCCAAGGGCCAAUCAGAGGUUUUAUUGACUGAUGAAAACUACAUCUUUGUCAGCCACCAGCUCCACGGGGACAGGGAACCUGAGAUGAUGCCAGAUAAUCAGCCUGAGAGCAAACACAGAGUUCCGGAAGGUGACCCAAGAGGGAGAAGAGAGAGGAAUAUGUGAAAAGGUGUUGUGGGGAGGAGGAGAGAAGUUCCUCCUGCCUUCUACAACUCCCAGAGUUCAAGAACAACCCAGGCCUCAGCCCCUGGCGCUUCUGGACUCCUGCCCAAGCACAAGGAAUCAGCUCAUGAUCUCCAAACCCAGCCCAACCCCUGUUGGUUGCCAGCCCCGCCAGAGUGUCCAGCUCCUGCAUGCUUCCACGGCUGACCGAGGCAGUGGAGUUGGCAAGGCGGAUGGCACGGCGCUUGGCCCUGCGGGGGCAGCAAGAGGAUAGCAGGCUGCCAGGCCCCACUG